GACGAACGCUGGCGGCGUGCUUAACACAUGCAAGUCGAACGGAAAGGCCCUGCUUUUGUGGGGUGCUCGAGUGGCGAACGGGUGAGUAACGCGUGAGUAACCUGCCCUUGACUUUGGGAUAACUUCAGGAAACUGGGGCUAAUACCGGAUAGGAGCUCCUGCUGCAUGGUGGGGGUUGGAAAGUUUCGGCGGUUGGGGAUGGACUCGCGGCUUAUCAGCUUGUUGGUGGGGGAGUGGCUUACCAAGGCUUUGACGGGUAGCCGGCCUGGGAGGGUGACCGGCCACAUGGGGACUGAGAGACGGACCAGACUGCUACGGGAGGCAGAAGUGGGGAAUAUUGCACAAUGGGCGGAAGCCUGAGGCAGCAACGCCGCGGGCGGGAUGACGGCCUUCGGGUUGUAAACCGCUUUCGCCUGUGACGAAGCGUGAGUGACGGUAAUGGGUAAAGAAGCACCGGCUAACUACGUG
Molecule: ribosomal RNA, 468 nt
Filed under: uncultured bacterium
Lineage: Bacteria
Description: partial 16S ribosomal RNA
Rfam family: Bacterial small subunit ribosomal RNA
Source: RNAcentral